UGGCGCACGGGUGCGUAACGCGUAACCAACCUACCCGAAUCUGGGGGAUAGCCCGCCGAAAGGCGGAUUAAUACCGCAUAAAACUGCAGCACGGCAUCGUGUAACAGUUAAAGAUUUAUUGGAUUCGGAUGGGGUUGCGUGCCAUUAGCUAGUUGGCGGGGUAACGGCCCACCAAGGCGACGAUGGCUAGGGGAGCUGAGAGGCUGGUCCCCCACACGGGCACUGAGAUACGGGCCCGACUCCUACGGGAGGCAGCAGUAGGGAAUAUUGGGCAAUGGUCGAGAGACUGACCCAGCCAUGCCGCGUGCAGGAUGAAGGCUUUCUGAGUCGUAAACUGCUUUUACCAGGGAAGAAAAAAGGGGAUGCGUCCUCUACUGACGGUACCUGGUGAAUAAGCACCGGCUAACUCCGUGCCAGCAGCCGCGGUAAUACGUAGGGUGCGAGCGUUAAUCGGAAUUACUGGGCGUAAAGCGUGCGCAGGCGGUGAUGUAAGACAGUUGUGAAAUCCCCGGGCUCAACCUGGGAAUUGCAUCUGUGAC
Molecule: ribosomal RNA, 539 nt
Filed under: uncultured Hymenobacter sp.
Lineage: Bacteria; Pseudomonadati; Bacteroidota; Cytophagia; Cytophagales; Hymenobacteraceae
Description: bacterial SSU rRNA
Rfam family: Bacterial small subunit ribosomal RNA
Source: RNAcentral